Fukomys damarensis (Damara mole-rat) is the source of this 1816-nucleotide long non-coding RNA. NCBI's taxonomy places the organism in Eukaryota, Metazoa, Chordata, Mammalia, Rodentia, Bathyergidae. The record is from Ensembl.
CUUGGCUGAAGAUCAGAGGGGAGGGGACGUGAAUUUCAGCUUUCUCUCUGGCUUCUGUGUUGUGGCAGAAGCAGUACGAUGGUGUGGUUCCAGGUUAGCUGUGGAGCCAGUGUUCGGAAUGUUCUGGAAGCCCUGGUCUCGGGUGCUUUUCCAUAGCAGACCAGUGCAGGCUGGUGAGUUCUGGCUCAUGAUCUCUGUGUGCCACUCCUUCUUCUCCCCUUUACGCUUCCAGCCUUUCCAGUGCCCUUCUGUUCACUUUCCACAUUCACCUCUCUCUGUGAGAAAUACCUGGAAGGUUUCUGUUUGCUUGACUGGGCCUUGAGUGACCUACAGAGAUAAUAACAGAGGUGACGGGACCUAGGGAGCCCAUGUGUCAACAUUCAGGAGACGACUCUUCAGCCCCAAGACCCUUCUAAGAGGUUGGAAACCCACACCGGAGGAUCUCCCAUGGCCUCCGGGCUUCUGAGGCUCUCUGCCUCUCCGAUGAAGCAAAACCAGACUCUGGCAACCACGGAGUGUGCGAGGGCUUGAGGGUCGGAGGGGACCGAGAAGCCCAGUCCAGGCUGCAGCCAGCCAAGAGGUCCGUCUUCCCCUUCCCAAAGCCAGAGAAGGUCUGGACCUGGACAGAGCGACACCGUGCCUGAGGGAAGGGGCUGCCCCGGGCCUGCCUUCCUGCGCGGUCGGGAGGAGAUGGGAGGGCUCACAGAGAGAGCAGUUCGGAUGGCAGAGGGGCACCCCCGGGGCCCCAACAAGGAAAGGUAGCUAUGCAAAUCCCGAGUACAUGACUUGAGGUCUCAAACUGGAAUCCUUCCCAAAGGGAUUGUUCAAAUCACCGCUCACCUGGAAAUGUGUACAAUCACUGUGUCGAUUAAAUGUUAAAGUAUUUCCAUCAUCAAAGACUGAUUUGUAUUUGGGAUGCACAGAAGUAGCAAAAAAAAAAAACUUUUAAAGCAGCAAACCACACCCGCGCAUGCGCGCGCACACACGUACACACGCGCACACACGCGCACUUUCUCCAGCCCACUCCUCUCAGACAAAGAGCAGCCGGAGCCAGGUCGCGCCCACCCUCUUCCCUUCGACCCAGGAGACAACACAAAGUCCCUCCAGUUCUGCGACACAGAAGGGUGCAGCCAGGGACGGGGGCUGCGGGGGGCCAGUUCCGGGCCUUAGUCAUCUCCACGCCUGGCAGGGCGCACCGUCAGCACCCGAUUUUGGCAGUGUCUCCUCCAUAGAUCCUAAUUUCCAUCUUGUUCACUCUGCAUUGCCAAUCCAAGGCCCAGAAUGCUCUCCGUGUUUUUGUGGCUGAAGACCUGAACUUGCCCAGCGCUACAGCCCUGAGCUUGUUUUUAACCCAGCUUGUCCUGUCAUUGGACGGGUGCCUCUCUGACUCUCUUCUUCACACUGCUCAGGCUGCCCGCCCUCCCGUGGGUUCUGCCCCCUCCACGGGUCCCUGCCCACUCCCCGUGCGGCCACCAUGCCCCUCCUGGGCUGUGACACUCCUCUCUGGGCGGCCAUGGGAGCCCGGCAGUGGCCGGCUCUCUCCCUCUGAUGUGGCCAAUGGAUUAGGACUGGACAGUCCAGAGAAGGAAGGGACAUAGGAAGACAAGCAGAGGAGGGAGAGAAGAGGACCGUGGGGAGAGGCAGACAUGCUGAAUGUCUUUAGAAAACCAACUUUGCUUCCUUCGCAGAGACCACUUUUUGUCUUGACUCGCAGUCGGCCUUCUUCAGGAAGCUCCUCCUCCCUGGAACUGCCCUGCCUUGACCUUGGGCUUUCUAGUGUGUCUCUGUAGAAACGUCUGUCUCCGGUCACACGCGC